RNAcentral lists this long non-coding RNA (3072 nucleotides) under Homo sapiens (human). Its description in RNAcentral is "HSALNT0276092". Lineage: Eukaryota; Metazoa; Chordata; Mammalia; Primates; Hominidae. The record is from RNAcentral.
CAAGUGCUCCCAUAAACUGGGCCAACACAGUCAGGUGGCAGAAGUCUCCUAUGUGAAAAUGGCAGGCCCUCUCUUUAGGCUCAGGUCUGGUCAGUGACCUGGGCAGCCCUGAAUUAAUUGGGAGGGUCUGGGGAGAACAUCUGCUGGGAGCUGGACUGCAAAGAGCCGUGAAUGGGGAGGUCAGAGCCUGGGGUUCGGGACCUGGCUCUGCCACUCACUCACUGUGCUUCCCCCACAGUAGGCACUUUCGCUUUCUGGGCCCAGUCCCACCUCUCCAAAUCAUCAGAAGGACCUUACGAUUGUUUCUGCACUGUCGCCUAGCAGGACACAGGCCAAGGUUUUAAUCAUUAGCUGUCAUUCCACCCUGCUGUCCCAAUCCAAGCCCUCCCGAGCCUGCCUGAGUAAGAAAUCAAGGCCUCCCUCCCUGGCCCACUCACACCAAACCCAAGGUUCACGGCCAGCGGGCAAACUCGCCCACCACACCUCGGUCUCCUAAGACCCUUUCCUUGGCAAUCCAAUGAAAGCUCGGUGGAACGACAAAAGCUACAACUCAGCGUGCACAUGACACCGCCACUUGUGCUUCCUAGGAGGGUGAGAGGAGAUGAGGCAGGUGCCACUAAUCCACCCUAAAAAUAGGGAGAAGGAUGAGCUUUCGUGUCGGGGGUUGGGGUGUUCACACUUAAACAUAAAUCAACUGGCAAAUUCAGCCCAACUCACGUGCUGGCCCUGUCCACACAGACGUCGACUCCAGCAAAAAUGUCCUGACUGACUUCAGGAGAGAGGAAUUAUUGCUACGUGCCUCUUUCCCAGUGAAGAAAAUCUCUGUUGGCUGCGAGCAGAGAAGCGGCGGAAGGAUUCCCGACUCCGGGAAGCCAGGUGUCGGAAGGAGGAAGUACGCUUGAAGGGGGUCCGGCUGGCCGACUCUGCACUCGUCCGUUCGUGGCCCACCGUGGUGGUCACCAAAUUGAGGGCUUCCUGGAAGGACCUCCUCACGGUGCCCAUCCACUGGGUCAUGUGGGUCUGGGCCACUGUGAGUUUAUCUCCCAGGUAAUCCAUGGGGCCAGCCAGGAGGAGAGGGAAGAAGGAAGUUAGGGAGGGAGAGAGCAAUUAAAACGCCAGUGUCCUCUUGCCUCUUUGGACUCUUUUGCUCAUGGAAGUUUUGGGCUUGCUUGGAGGAAAAAAAAUUAAAAACAGCAGCUUUCUUCAGGCAAACCAAGGGUAAGUAAACAUCCCUGAGCCAGGAGCCGGCUGCAUCCACGGGUGCCGCUCAGAAUUAAGAGGCAGCUAAGUGCCAGGCUGGGAGUCCACCCCAGCGGAGUUAUAAAGUCAACACACUGGGCAGUCCAGGUUCCAGUUCCAGGGCUCACCCAGCUGAUCGGCCGAGACAAGGAGCUUUGAGGAACAAGCCGGCUGCACUCACUCCAGGGCGUGACGGUCCCGAAAGGCGGGGGAUGGGGAUGGGGGUGGGGGUGGAGGGGGCGGCCUUUGGGCACCCUCGUCCUCACUUCCCUUCAGGUAGGCAGCCCCCCUGAGGUGCACCCUGGGAGGUUCCGGUGGGCAAGCUGCCGCACCCUGCUGCCCCCUGCCCGGCUGCCCUCGGCCAGACCCCGCUCACCUGACCCAUGCAGGUUUUCUGUCCUCUGGCUGGAGAUUCCAAACCUGUCGGCCGGCAGGCGGCUAGCUCACUUCCGGAGGCAGCCACCAGGGCCCCCGGGUCCCCUGGCUGAGCAGCCCGGGAUGACAUCAGCCCCCGUCUUAGCGAGGGGCUUCGCUGCCCAGGAAUGCAGGAGGGGCCUCGGGGAGGCGGAGGCGGUGGCGGCGGCCGCCCAGGGAGCUGACGUCCGCCCCCAUUUUUUUCUCCCCCAAGUCCCAACUCGCUCACGGUCCCUCGGGGCUGAUGGCAACUUCACGUGCCUGCCAGCCUACCCACCCCUGUGCCCUCACAGCAAGCGCACCAGGAAAUGCGGCUGCACGUGUGUGCAUGUGUGUGCACUCUGUGUGUGUGUGCGUGUAUGUCGGCGAUCUGGCAGCCCCGGGAAGGUUAGCACUGCUGGGAAACGGCUUCUGCCUCUAAGGUUACAGGCAGCGUCUUGGGACCUCUGGUCGGCUGUCAGUCUGUCUCCCUCUCGUGGUCUGUUUCUCUGUUGAUUUCUCAGCCUCGCUCUCCUCCCUCUCCCUGUGUCUCAACUUCCACUUGCUUGUCUCUAAGCGUCUCUCCUCUCUCUCUCCUUUUCAGCUGUCUCUCCCUCCCUCUCUGGAAGGCAACACUGAUCCAGGAUCUCACUCUGUUGCCCAGGCUGGACUGCAGUGGCAUGAUCACAGCUCACUGCAGCCUUGGCCUCCCAGGCUCAAGCGAUCCUCCCACCUCAGCCUCCUCGGUAGCUAGGACUACAGGUGGAGCAACACCGUCAGUCAGAAGGCAGCGGAUGGCACAGGGCUUCCGCGUAAGGCCUGCAUCGCCUGAGUCAUGGUUUUCUCAUCUUGUAUGAGGCCCACCCCCUUCAAAAGGUUGUGACAAAAAAAACAACUGAGAUAAUUUGUGCCGCUGGCACAUAGUUAACACUCAAUAAGGCCGGGCGCAGUGGCUUACACCUCUAAUCCCAGCACUUUGGGAGGCUGAGGCAGGUGGAUCACUUGAGGCCAGGAGUUCGAUACCAGCCUGACCAACAUGGUGAAACCCCAUCUCAACUAAAAAUACAAAAAUUAGCCAGGCAUGGUGGUGUGCACCUGUAGUCCCAGCUACUUGGGAGCCUGAGGCAGGAGCAUCUCUUGAACCCGGGAGGUGGAGGUUGCAGUGAGCGGAGAUGGCACCACUGCACUCCAGCCUGGGCGACAGAACAAGACUCUGUCUCAAAACAACAACAACAACAAAAUAAUAAAUGGUGACCACAAGGGAUGAUCGUUUUUCUAUUAUAAUUCCUAUCAUCUCACUGUUCAAAUGAAUCACAGGACCCUAGACAGUCAGAAUCAAGACACCAGCAGGGACCAACCUAGGCCAACCUUCCCACUAAACUGAAGAAACAGGCCCAGACCGAGGGCUGCCCUAAGGCCUCACAGUCCAUCUGCAGCAGG